This 1951-nucleotide ribosomal RNA is filed under the name human gut metagenome. RNAcentral describes it as "bacterial LSU rRNA". It matches the Rfam family "Bacterial large subunit ribosomal RNA", at positions 3 to 1989 of the family's 2925-position model. The record is from RNAcentral.
UUAAGCAAAAAAGAGCGCAGGGUGGAUGCCUUGGCACUAAGAGCCGAAGAAAGACGUGAUAAGCUGCGAAAAGCUGCGGGGAGAUGCAAAUAAUCCUUGAUCCGCAGAUGUCUGAAUGGGGAAACCCGGUACGAAGAACUCGUAUCAUCCAUACGCCAAUCCAUAACGUAUGGAGGGGAACCCGGUGAACUGAAACAUCUAAGUAGCCGGAGGAAGAGAAAGAAACAUCGAUUUUGUUAGUAGCGGCGAGCGAAAGCGAAAGAGGCCAAACCGGAGUGCGUGCACUCCGGGGUUCGGACCGCAUUUAAGAUUCAGUGAUUCUAGCAGAAAGGUUUGGGAAAGCCUGCCGGAGAGGGUGAAAGCCCCGUAAGCGAAAGGAGAGCUGACUGAGCGGGAUCCAGAGUACAUCGAGACACGAGAAACCUUGAUGGAAUGAGCGGGGACCACCCCGUAAGCCUAAAUACUACUUAGUGACCGAUAGCGCAUAGUACUGUGAAGGAAAGGUGAAAAGGACCCCGGGAGGGGAGUGAAAGAGAACCUGAAACCCUGUGUUUACAAGCUGUGGAAGUUCUUUAAAUGAACAACCGCGUACUUUUUGUAGAACGGUCCGGCGAGUUGCGGAUACUGGCAAGGUUAAGCACUUAAGGUGCGGAGCCGAAGGGAUACCAAGUCUUAACAGGGCGUUAAGUCAGUAUACGCAGACCCGAAACCGGGUGAUCUAUCCAUGUCCAGGUUGAAGUUGUCGUAAAAGACAAUGGAGGACCGAAGCCACAUCCGUUGAAAAGGGUGGGCAUGAGGUGUGGAUAGGGGAGAAAUUCCAAUCGAACCCGGAGAUAGCUGGUUCUCCUCGAAAUAGCUUUAGGGCUAGCCUCGAUUUAGUCUUAUGGAGGUAGAGCACUGAAUUUCCGCGGGGGCGUCAAAGCUUACCAAAGAAUAUCAAACUCCGAAUGCCAUGUAGAUGAUGAUCGGGAGUCAGACUGCACGAGAUAAGUUGGGCAGUCAAAAGGGAAAGAGCCCAGACCACCGGCUAAGGUCCCAAAGUGCGUGUUAAGUGGAAAAGGAUGUGGGAAUUCGAAGACAACUAGGAUGUUGGCUCAGAAGCAGCCAUACAUUCAAAGAGUGCGUAACAGCUCACUAGUCGAGAGUUCCUGCGCCGAAAAUGUCCGGGGCUGAAACACGACACCGAAGCCGUGGACUCGCAAUGCGAGUGGUAGAGGAGCAUUCUUAAAACCGACGAAGCUGUACCGAAAGGAGCAGUGGAGGGAUAAGAAGAGAGAAUGCCGGAAUGAGUAGCGAGAGAAAGGUGGGAAUCCUUUCGGCCGAAUAUCUAAGGUUUCCAGAGUAAAGCUGAUCUGCUCUGGGUAAGUCGGGGCCUAAGCACAGGUCGCAAGACGUAAGCGAUGGAUAACAGGUUUAGAUUCCUGUACCACGCAUUAUCAGAACUGUAGGGACGCAUGUGGAAAGCACGGGCCGGGAAUGGAAAGACCGGUACAAGCGAGGUAGGUGUACAAUAGGCAAAUCCGUUGUAUAAUCCGAAGACGUGAUGUGGAGCGAAAUAAAGUAGUGAAGCGUGUGAGCCAUGUGCCGAGAAAAGCUGCUAUUGUGUAAUGCGUGCCCGUACCGUAAACCGACACAGGUGGAUGAGGAGAGAAUCCUAAGGCCGGCGGAAGAAGCAUUGUUAAGGAAUUCGGCAAAAUGACCCCGUAACUUCGGGAGAAGGGGUGCCUGCGAGAGCAGGCCGCAGAGAAUAGGCUCAAGCAACUGUUUAGCAAAAACACAGGUCUAUGCGAAACCGAAAGGUGAAGUAUAUGGGCUGACGCCUGCCCGGUGCUGGAAGGUUAAGAGGAGAGGUUAGCUUCGGCGAAGCUUUGAAUUUAAGCCCCAGUAAACGGCGGCCGUAACUAUAACGGUCCUAAGGUAGCGAAAUUCCUUGUCGGGUAAGUUCCGACCC